RNAcentral lists this ribosomal RNA (86 nucleotides) under uncultured bacterium. Its description in RNAcentral is "partial 16S ribosomal RNA". The record is from RNAcentral.
AGCGAUGAAGCCCUUCGGGUGUAAAGCUCUUUCGUCAGGGAAGAUUAUGACGGUACCUGGAGAAGCAGCUGCGGCUAACUACGUGC